GACGAACGCUGGCGGCGUGCUUAACACAUGCAAGUCGAACGGAAAGGCCCUGCUUUUGUGGUGUGCUCGAGUGGCGAACGGGUGAGUAACACGUGAGUAACCUGCCCUUGACUUUGGGAUAACUUCAGGAAACUGGGGCUAAUACCGGAUAGGAGCUCCUGCUGCAUGGUGGGGGUUGGAAAGUUUCGGCGGUUGGGGAUGGACUCGCGGCUUAUCAGCUUGUUGGUGGGGUAGUGGCUUACCAAGGCUUUGACGGGUAGCCGGCCUGAGAGGGUGACCGGCCACAUUGGGACUGAGAUAGGGCCAAGACUCCUACGGGAGGCAGCAGUGGGGAUUAUUGCACAAUGGGCGGAAGCCGGAUGCAGCAACGCCGCGUGCGGGAUGACGGCCUUCGGGUUGUAACCCGCUUUCGCCUGUGACGAAGCGUGAGUGACGGUAAUGGGUAAAGAAGCACCGGCUAACUACGUG
This 468-nucleotide ribosomal RNA is filed under the name uncultured bacterium. Its description in RNAcentral is "partial 16S ribosomal RNA". It matches the Rfam family "Bacterial small subunit ribosomal RNA", at positions 28 to 507 of the family's 1533-position model. The record is from RNAcentral.